Long non-coding RNA from Peromyscus eremicus (cactus mouse), 561 nucleotides. RefSeq lists it as uncharacterized. The transcript is spliced from 2 exons. The record is from RefSeq and is a predicted model, not a curated record. Lineage: Eukaryota; Metazoa; Chordata; Mammalia; Rodentia; Cricetidae.
GGUAACCAAUAAUCUUUUUCCUGAAUGGGGAAACAGAACAGCCAUGAGGAAAAUAUUUGAAAUGAGCUACCUCAUUUUGUGACUCUUGGUGCCAGCUAGGAUUAAAAACAGCACCCAAGGUAUUCGGGACAGCCAUGCUUGUAAAAGGAAAUUGCCUUCUUUUCAGAGAAAUAAGGCUGAAGCUGUGUGUAAUUGACUUCCUGUUUAAACAAGGAGCAUCCAGAGAGAGAAAGGAGGAGGAAACACGCAUUUUCCCCUUUACUCCUACUUAUCAGGGAAAACAACCUUUCAUGAUGUUGCCCCCAAAUUCUCUUCCAUGACAUCUUAGUCAAAACUAGGUUGUAUACCUAUGCCUGUAUCACUGACGAUUUGGAACAGGACUUUCAUGACUAGGUUAGAUGUGAUCAUUCAUCCCUGUAUCUGUGUGUUGUAUGAACAAACUUAAGACAUCUUGCAGCGAAGCAGAAGGGUCAGUGCCUGUUGGACAAGCCAACCACGUGUUUAUAAAAAAUACCUAGGAAUAAAACAAACUGAUGAUAUGAAAAACUUACAGAAGGAAAA